This 25-nucleotide non-coding RNA is filed under the name Mus musculus (house mouse). The record is from RNAcentral. Lineage: Eukaryota; Metazoa; Chordata; Mammalia; Rodentia; Muridae.
UUACAAGAUGGUGUUCUUAGUGAAG